UACGUAGGGGGCUAGCGUUGUCCGGAUUUAUUGGGCGUAAAGAGCGUGUAGGCGGCCAGGUAGGUCUGCUGUGAAAACUCGAGGCUUAACCUCGAGAUGUCGGCGGAAACCAUCUGGCUAGAGUCCGGAAGAGGAGAGUGGAAUUCCUGGUGUAGCGGUGAAAUGCGCAGAUAUCAGGAAGAACACCCGUGGCGAAGGCGGCUCUCUGGGACGGUGCUGACGCUGAGACGCGAAAGCGUGGGGAGCGAACAGG
RNAcentral lists this ribosomal RNA (253 nucleotides) under uncultured bacterium. RNAcentral describes it as "partial 16S ribosomal RNA". It matches the Rfam family "Bacterial small subunit ribosomal RNA", at positions 524 to 776 of the family's 1533-position model. The record is from RNAcentral.